AGCCCGGAUGAUCUCCGAUGAAUCAUCGUUCGGUAUUGAUGGGCCGUGGAAUUGUCACAACGUCCACCACUGGAGCGCAGAAAACCCCCACGUCGUUUCCAUUGGUCAUGCGCAGCGACGAAUUCAGCGAAUCAAUUUGUGGGCUGGAAUAUACGGCAAUAUUUUGAUUGGGCCAUACCAACUCCCGCAGACGCUGACGGCGGCCACAUAUACCAGAUUCCUCCGGACCAAACUGAGGAGACUUUGUCUCCGUUCAGGAAUGGCUCCGGAGGAAUUCGACAAUGCCUGGUUUCAGCAGGAUGGUGCUCCGGCGCAUACAAGCGCUGCAGCACGAGAGGACCUGGCUCGCCUUUUUGGAGAGUGUGAUUGGACGUGGCGGUCGCCAAGGUUGGCCCCCACGUUCGCUCGACCUCAACCCUUUGGAUUUUUUCCUGUGGGGUCAUAUUAAAACCCACACAUAUCGACAAGAAAUCCGAGAUCGCGCCCAUCUCGAGGAGAGGAUUGAGGAAGUGCUACGUACCGUCACCCCUGAGAUGCUGCAGCUAAUACUUUAGCUCGAUACCGCUGCUGCAUCGAAACAGGUUACGUGGACACGUAACAGGCAGUUACGUGGAACACCUCAUGAAUUCAAACGAGGAACAGGGUGACAGAGGAAAACAGGGAGAGGGGGACGAAAACGAAAUGACUCAAGACCCAAUCGUUGAAAGUGGAAUUCACUCUUCGCCAUGAUCAAUCACUUUGCUAUUUCAUACAUUUAUGAUCAUACAAUUAAUGAUGUUUUAAAAAUUUCUAUGUUUGUGUUUGUGUGUGUUUUAAAUUAUUUCUCUUCCCGUGAGAGAAUAAAAAUAACGAAAAAAUGUUUUUUGUUGCUCUCAUAAAGUAGCAACUCUUUAGC
Long non-coding RNA from Venturia canescens, 895 nucleotides. RefSeq lists it as uncharacterized. NCBI's taxonomy places the organism in Eukaryota, Metazoa, Arthropoda, Insecta, Hymenoptera, Ichneumonidae. The record is from RefSeq and is a predicted model, not a curated record. The transcript has 3 exons.